AACGAACGCUGGCGGCAUGCCUAACACAUGCAAGUCGAACGGGAUCCUGGCUUCGGCCAGGUGAGAGUGGCGGACGGGUGAGUAACGCGUGGGAACCUGCCCAUUGGUCUGGGAUAACUGCGGGAAACUGCAGCUAAUACCGGAUGUACCCGAGAGGGGAAAGAUUUAUCGCCGAUGGAGGGGCCCGCGUCAGAUUAGGUAGUUGGUGAGGUAACGGCUCACCAAGCCUACGAUCUGUAGCUGGUCUGAGAGGAUGAUCAGCCACACUGGGACUGAGAUACGGCCCAGACUCCUACGGGAGGCAGCAGUGGGGGAAUAUUGGACAAAUGGGGGGCGAACCCUCGAUCCAGCAAUGCCGCGUGAGUGAUGAAGGCCUUAGGGUUG
Molecule: ribosomal RNA, 384 nt
Filed under: uncultured bacterium
Lineage: Bacteria
Description: bacterial SSU rRNA
Rfam family: Bacterial small subunit ribosomal RNA
Source: RNAcentral